This 64-nucleotide small RNA is filed under the name Arabidopsis thaliana (thale cress). Its description in RNAcentral is "ATSL107490". The record is from RNAcentral. Lineage: Eukaryota; Viridiplantae; Streptophyta; Magnoliopsida; Brassicales; Brassicaceae.
GUUUCACCUUCACAUAUAUGUCCUUAAUAUCUGGUUAGAUAUGUUCUUCACCUUCACAUAGAUU